Small nuclear RNA from Pogoniulus pusillus (Red-fronted tinkerbird), 126 nucleotides. The record is from RefSeq and is a predicted model, not a curated record. NCBI's taxonomy places the organism in Eukaryota, Metazoa, Chordata, Aves, Piciformes, Lybiidae.
GUGUUGUAUGAAAGGAGAGAAAGUUAGCAGUCCCCUUGAUGAGGAUGGAAGAGUCCCUUGUGACCUAUACAACCUGCAUACAGUUAAGGCACUGUCUCCUACUUUGUGGCAUCUAACCAUAUUUUC